Molecule: unclassified non-coding RNA, 1208 nt
Filed under: Hevea brasiliensis (rubber tree)
Lineage: Eukaryota; Viridiplantae; Streptophyta; Magnoliopsida; Malpighiales; Euphorbiaceae
Source: RNAcentral
AGUUACCUGGUAUGAGAAUUCAAGUUAAAGGGAUGCAUAAAAAGCUGCACAGGUUAUGCAGAGUUAAGUGCUGUCCAGAACAUGUGCAUAGGUAAGGUGCAUAAGCCAUGCAGUGCUGCAUAAGAGGCAAUAAAUGUGGCAUAGGCUAUGCAGGACAGUUGCAUAAGGGAAAUACAACCUGUGCAGUUCUGCAGAAGUAGCAGAAAGAGUUGCACAGGCUAUGCAAAGGUUAUGCAUGAGGAAAUUCAUAGCUGUGCAGUGUAUACAGAAACUGCUGCAUGGGAAUUGGCAAGGGGAAAUGUACAACCAGCAGUAAAAGUAUGGAAAUAUAGACAGAGUAUGGGCAAAUAUGUACAAAAAGGCAAUAAGUGCAAUAAAAAUCAAAGAAGACGAAUGUAAUAGCUAUUCAAUAAAACUUCAAAAGAAACAGAAUUUAAAAGAAACUAAUUUAGAACAAAUCAACAAAAUCCAAAACAAACUAUAAAUGUUUGAACAUAUUUACAAAGAAAAAAAAGUCCUGCAAGUUUGAACAAAAGUAAAACAAAAACUAAUCUAGUUCUAUUGUUUUGCCCUUGUCCAUUGAUAUUGCUAAGGGGCUGGUUGCAUCUGGCUGCUGUCGAAAUGAUGGUGCUGGAGGUGGAGGUGGCAUUCCCAGAAAAAUCAUGAGUUUCUUCAUCAUCUCCUUCAAUUCUUUCUGCUUGUCCCUGGUUUCCAUGACAAGGUCAAAUAGGUGAUCAUGACGAUCCUUGAGGGUAUCAAGACCAGUGUCAAGCUUCCUAUCCACAAAGUAUAUAUCAUCACUAAGCCUUUCAAGAUAGGUGAAUAAGGCUUUAGUGUUGAAUGCAGGAGGGGCUGUGGAUGAGGAGGGUUCAGCUGUAGGAGGUGUGGGCUGAGCAGAAGCUGCUGGGGUGUCCUGUGCAGAUUGAGGGGGUGGGGUAGGUUCAGUAGAGUGCUGUGGGACUGAUGGGACAGGUUGGGCUUCUGGUUGUGCAGUGGGUUCAGUUUCUGCUGCUGGUUGUGCAAUGUCAGAAUGUGGCAAACUGAACCCUGUUUUGGAUAGGUGUGCAGCAUCAAAAUAUAAGGUGUCCACAAGUGCUGGUAUUGGGUGCUCUUCAGGAUUAAAACCAAAAUGCUUGGCUAUAACAGUUAUGAGCCCACCCAAGACAAUGUCACCUAUGGAUUUUGUGGCAAUAUGCAACACAUGCUCA